UUUCCGUAGGUGAACCUGCGGAAGGAUCAUUAAUGAGUUGUCAUGGGGUUCGAUGCUGGCAGCCAGUUUUUGGAUGCAUGUGCUUGCCCUAACAAUCAUCUUCUUCCAAACACCUGUGCACAUUUUUGAGGGAGUCUUGAGUUGGUUGCCGCUCUUGGGUGAUUUUCUCACAUUCCCUUAAAUCAUUAUACGCUAUUAACAAUGUUGAACGUGCUCUGUGCCGCAAGGCCAUUAAUAUAAUACAACUUUUAACAACGGAUCUCUUGGCUCUCGCAUCGAUGAAGAACGCGGC
Molecule: unclassified non-coding RNA, 292 nt
Filed under: plant metagenome
Description: partial contains small subunit ribosomal RNA, internal transcribed spacer 1, and 5.8S ribosomal RNA
Rfam family: 5.8S ribosomal RNA (bases 244-292)
Source: RNAcentral